UGAUACUGCAGAGGUACUUCGAGUUUGAGAAGUCGGCCGGGAUGCGGUGGUUGCUGAAGUUCGGAGGAUUUAAGGAGAGGUUGCUAGCGGAUGAUUUGUUCUUAGCCAAGCUUGUCAUGGAGUGUGUUGUUGUCAUCUUUACAAAGGCUGCUGCAGAACUGGAGCGGCGUAAAGAAAAAUUUACUAAGGAGCUGGAUUUUGUUGUUGCCAAUGUGGUAACAGGCAUUGUAACAGGUUUCGUGCUUGUAUGGUUUCCUGCUCCUGCAGUUCCUCUCAAACGCCCUCCAGCAGUUAGUGCUGGACCUAUUGCUAAAUUCUUCUAUGGCUGUCCUGAGAAUGCUUUUCAGGUGGCUUUGGCUGGAACAUCAUAUACACUUAUACAACGAAUAGGCGCUAUAGUGCGGAAUGGGGCAAAACUAUUUGUUGUCGGGACUGGUGCAUCACUGAUUGGUAUAAGCAUUACAAAUGCAUUGAUCAAUGCACAGAAGGUUGUUAAAAAAAAAUUGCCUGCUGAGAUUGAGAACUUACCUGUAAUAUCAACCAGUGUCGCAUACGGAGUUUACAUGGUGGUGGUUAGCAACAUCAGGUACCAAAUACUUGCAGGAAUUAUUGAGCAACGGAUUCUAGAACCGCUGCUAAGGCAAAACAAGCUUAUGCUAAGUGCAGCUUACUUUGCUGUUAGAACUGCCAACACUUACUGGGGUUCUCUUCUGUGGGUGGAUUUUGCUCGAUGGGCUGGAGUCCAGAAGAUAAAAGACUAGGCGUUGUUAUGCAUUACAAGAUAUUGCAAAGUAAUAUUCACUUUGAUCUUUAUCUUGGUAAACGAGAAACUAAAGUGCCAUGGCAUAAAAGUUUGAAGCACCCAUAACCCCAUUCUAGUGAGGGAGAGCAGCUGAGAAAAAGAGGAGAGUGAAGAACCAAAAAUCUCCAAAUGUCACUAUUCAUCAUCAUCUUUAAAUCCUCAUAAUUUUCAAUUCGGAGCUUCGAUUGAUGAGUUAUUUGUGGCCACACGUUCAUCUCGAAUCCCUCUUCAAUUCUAUCUAAACAUUGUGAUGAGUAAACACGAAAUCCUUUUCCAGUGUUCUGUUUCCUUCAAUUUCGUGUUUUUAAGAUAAAUUGUUGAGAGAAUUGUGAUUUUGAUACUUGAGGGGAAAUUCAAGAACAAUUUCACGUGGGAUUUUGACCCAAGAUUGAGUGGUACAAGAUUAUAUGGAUUAGCUUGGCUUGUUUGAAAUUGGCUUUGGCAUUGAUUUGGCGUGGAGUUGAGUUGCAAAUCGAAGUGAUGAGAUUUUGGUGGACGUUGGAGUUUUCCGGAGGAACGCAAAGUGUUGGAGGAACCGUCAUCUAGAGGUACGAGUUUUAGUUUCAAGUAGGCAUUAUGUAAAACUAUGUGAAAACCUAGGUCAAUUGUCCCUAAGACAGGAUUGAUGGAAUUGUUUGAUGUUGUGUUAAUUAGUUGUGAUUUGUGAAUUUAGUAGUUAUUGAGUGAUAUAAAUGUGUAUAUGAAUGAGUUGAAUUGAAUAUGAAUUGUGGUAUGCUUAAUUAUGAUGGAAAUUAAUAUGAAAAUUGGACCAGAGGAUGAGAUAGGAUGAGAUAUUUCCUAUUUGGUAAGUCACGGUAAGUGAUGAAUUUGCCAUGAGUGAAUUGUGGUGGGAUAAUGAGAAUUUGGUUAUAUGAAUGGAUUGUUGGUUUGAUUAUUGACGGAAAAUUUUAGAAAUGAUUGGCAGAUUGAAAUUGGUUAAUUAGAUGUUGAUUGGUUAGGAAAUGGUGAAUGAGUGUUAAGAAUGCUUAGUAAAGGUUUUGGUAUGAUUUGGAAUUGAGUUGGAUGGAAAAUUGGUGAAAAUGAGCAUUGAUGUAAAUUUGGUAAAAAUCAGUUUUUAAUCAAUUUUGAUGGGUCAUAACUUGGUGCUCGGAGUUUAGAGUUGAAUGAGAGUUCUCUUAAAUUAAAGAUAAUAAAAAGACCUUUAAAACCAUUUAAGAAUGAGGAAAAAGUGAUUUUUGUAGAGGAAGUUAUAAAUGUUUGAAAACUGAGGUUUUUGAGCUGAAUUCUAAAAAAUUGCAGAAAAAUCCAAAAUUUUAGCCUAUGUGCUCACGCAUGCAAUGGUGUCCACACACAGGGCAGAAUGAGUAAAAAGACUCGUGCGUAUGCACCUCCAGGAAUUUUUCAAGUUGUGCCUGCACACUAGGGAUCAUGCGUACGUAUAAGCUGGGACGUACUUCUGAUUUGUGCAUACGCACAAGUGUGAUGCAUACACAUAAGUUCUUAUUUUUCAAUUAAACUCUGUUUUUGACUGUUUGACUUUUUCGCCAAACUUGUAAACUUUCGUAACCCCCAAUUAAGGUCCGAUAGCUAGUUUUUAGGCUUGAAAAUGAGUGUGAGCAUAAUUAAGGGAUGAAAUUAAUAAAUUUGAAUAAGAUUGUGGAUUGGAGUGUCAAAGGUAAUGAUGGGUUGAUGAAAACUUGUGAGUAACAUAAUGAACUUAUUGAAUAUUAAAUUGACAUAACACAUGAAUGAUAAGACUAAUGAUGAAUUGAGAUGUAUUCUGGCAAGGUCAGUGGUAUAACCCACUUGCUUUUUGACUGCUGUUUGCUCUUGGCAAGGACGUGGCAAAGACAGUGGUAAAUUUUGUUUGUGCUGAGCUGAGAUAUGCCAAAACAAGGACGAUGGUUGAUCCUGCUUAUUUUGUGGCUCUCUCUGAUUGCAAGGGUGGCCAGGCUUGCGAUUUCCGAAUAGAUGCCUCCAGAAGAAGGUGACAGGCACUAAUCUCUCUUAGACCGCAUGUGAUAAGUCCAGGGUAAUGCCUCCUAAGGAUGCACGAUAGAUAAAAAAUGUCCGGGUUAUCUACUAGAUGUAUAAGGUUCUGGCAAUGUAAUCGACACAUGAGCUCAUGGCCAGUAGAACAGGCAUACAUCAUAUGCAUUUAUGUGAAAUUGUUUGAGUGUGCAUUAUUUUAGUAUGCCUACGUGUAUAUCCCUAUUUAAUUGCUAAUUGUUGUAUAUGUUAUAAUUGUUUUUGAUUGUGUU
Arachis ipaensis is the source of this 3024-nucleotide non-coding RNA. NCBI's taxonomy places the organism in Eukaryota, Viridiplantae, Streptophyta, Magnoliopsida, Fabales, Fabaceae. The record is from RefSeq and is a predicted model, not a curated record.